This 661-nucleotide long non-coding RNA is filed under the name Canis lupus familiaris (dog). RNAcentral describes it as "lncRNA (ENSCAFG00040011411.1)". Lineage: Eukaryota; Metazoa; Chordata; Mammalia; Carnivora; Canidae. The record is from RNAcentral.
CAUGGAAAGAGCACCAGUUUUCUUACCUGUAGGGUGGGGGUGGGGGGGUCAGAAUCUUGUCCCCUGCAGGGUUAUUGUGGUGACCACAGAUUGCAUUUGGAAGUGCGCUGUGCGCUACAGAGUGCUGAGCGAAUUAAAGGUUUUGUUGUUUUCUCUUCAAGGACCUCAGUGAACAUUUGUGGAACUGACCCACGCUGGGCUGGGCGCUGCCUCUCUUCUUGGCAAGGAGAAGAUGGGCCACAAAACGGGGCCUCAUCAGACAGCAGGAACCGUGCACCUGCCCUUCACAUCAGGACUCAGGCGCCUCGUGCAUUCUCCCUCCUCUCACAGCUGACCCUCACUCAGCUCCCAGGUUCUGUCCCUCCCCUCGGGUCCCCUGAGAUGGAAUCUUCAGGCCAGGCUUAUGGCUCCACUUUGCAGAUGAGAAAACUGAGGCCACAGUCAGGGAGAGGGGCCAGCACUGCCCAACAGCACCUCUGGUAAAGCUCUUUCCUUGCCUCGUCGGGACUGGAAGUAUUAGGCUCGUCCCAUGGGAGAAGAAGUGGUCGCUCAGGGGCGCUGCGUGAUUGAGGAGGACUCCAAGAGCUCCCCUUUGGGCCACUGAGAUCUGCACCUUGGCCUCCUAAGGUGGCCUGAACAGAUCACCACAGAUGCAGUGGCC